This is a long non-coding RNA of Pantherophis guttatus, 3121 nucleotides long. RefSeq lists it as uncharacterized. The record is from RefSeq and is a predicted model, not a curated record. NCBI's taxonomy places the organism in Eukaryota, Metazoa, Chordata, Lepidosauria, Squamata, Colubridae.
CAAGAGUUUUGAAGGUUACAUCUGGAAAGCAAAUUCAUCCAACUUCCUUCAAAAUUCCGUGAAUGAAGCAAGAUGAUAAAACUUUCAUUCAUACAGUCCCAUGGCAGAUGCUAAUUUUCAAACCUCCUGGUAGUUUCCAGGUUUUGACUCGCCUUUUAUCGCUUGUUGAAGAAGAACUGUACCCACAACAUCUAAUAGGUUUGAGGCAGAAAAUGUCUGACUAUGACAGGGUUCAGAAAUAUGAAUAAGGAGACAAAUUUCUUGUGCGUCCAAUAAUAUUUGGCCCAUAAAGAAUUCUAUUCUAUGAAGUAUAGAAGAAUAUACUGUGGAGACUGCAGAUAAUCUAAUUAAUGAGAACUAGAAGCUGAGAAGAAAUGGAAAACAAUCAAGGGGUCGAAGUAGCUUUCCUUGUCGUCCCUCCACCCCCACCUUCUCUCUCUGCAGGUGUAAAGAAAAAAAGAAUUCAGUUCAUUGAUUAAAUUUCCUGUAGAGACUUAUGGAGAUGGUCUUGAGGGGAAUAUUCAGCAGCCAUCUCUCGCACCCAGAAAAAAAAGACAGAAGCAAUCCUUAAAAUAUGGCAAAAAAGGUGAAUUGAGUUUCGGAUUGUGGUAUCCAAUUUGCUGCAAGCUUUUCUCAUCGCUGAAGUUUAGAUGAAAGGCCAGGACAAGUGGAAGGGCAUCUCUAUCUUACUUUAUCUCACUCCAUUCCUCAUCUGAUAAAUGAAUGCCUACUGGAGUACGAGCAGGCUCGGAGAGCAGCAAAAAGAAAGAGCAAUAUCCUCACUUUUUUCUGGAAGACCUGCAACUCAAGCGAAGAGCUUUUUCUGUAAGUGGGUAAGGGCAGCAUGUUGAGGAAGCAGGACAAUUUAUUCUGAUGCCUAUACAACAAACUAAGGACUAUUAUUCUCUGGCGUCUGCAAAGCCCUUACAAAUAGGCUUACAAAUAUCGGCGCAAACAUGGGAGACACUGUUAUCUUGUAAGGCAAAAUAUCAAAGAUCUACAGUACCAUCUGUAGUGCGCAACUGAUGCUGAUUUAAACAAAAGAGAUUGAAGCAUGCACUUUGAUUGAUUGUGCCACCGAUAUCUCAUAGUAGCUAAGAGCAGGAGUUUUACAUUGAAAAACAAAACCUUUCUGCUGAUAUCAACGUACUGACUCUCAAGCGAGCUACUCUCUCAGCCAUAGUCUCCUCCAUAGAAACUGCUACAUAUGACUGAUUUGGACAGACAGUUCCUCCAGCCCCAAAAGUUACAGAACUGCCCCCCAGAACUUAUUGAAUUGGCCAAGUUGCCCAAAGUUCGGACUUCAAAUUGGAGGGACACGUUCCUCCUCUUAGCUAAAGACUGUGUGUGAGAUAAUAGAUGGGAAAGGCCAGCAGCAUAUGUUCCACUAGGCAAAAGUGCACCUCUUUUGUUCGGCUGAACUGUGAUGCUCCUGAUAAAUGAAACGGGGCACAGAAGAGAGGGAGUCUAAUUUAUUAGUUAUGAAUAGGGAGAAGGGGAGGAGGUGCAGGGGGAGGGAAAAAACAUGGUCAACUUUAGUUUUCAGUCACAUUAGCAGAAGUUAUAGGUGGAACCACUACUUCUAAGAAGUAUCAUCUCCUUACCAAAAAGAUUUGCUAGAAUGUUUGUGGCCGAGGACCUAAGGUACUUGCUACAGGGAUGUGAGGUCAGAGGUCAGCUCAAUCCUGCAAUAUAAUAAACGCAGCAAACCUGGGUCACAUCAAAAUGGCAGCAAUGCCAGGCAAUGCCAACAGGAGAGGGGGGGAAGAAGAAGGCCAGGAAGGGUCAGGAUGCACACACAGGCACAUGGCAUGAAGAACCAAAGGCUCGAAAGGGCGGAUGGCAUGGCUUUCCUCAGCUGAUUCAGUGUAGCUCCUUACCUGAGGGCAAGCCUGCCCAAAGAAACCACAACAAAGGAGGAGGGUUUGGAAUAGCCUGAAAUGGAAAAAUGCUGAUGCCACCACCAGCGCUCCGAGGGAAGGGGGAAAAACAAAAGAAAAAAAAACUGGGAGAAACAAACACAGACAGACAGACAAGGUCACUGUGACAAGAAACAGAGAAACCGUUAGAAGAAAUGCAACAGUCUGCCAGACACCCAUUAGCAGAAGAGGUGAGGGGGGGAGGGAGUUUGCAAACAGCUCUGCACAGGCCAAGGCAGCAAGCAUUAAGUAGGGCAGGUAAAUUUGGAAAGUAGAUACAGGACACAGGAAACCGAUAGUCAAUCAUGGUGCAGGUGGAAAAGGUUGUUAACAAACCCUUUCUUUCCUUAGAAAAGAGCUGUCCUAGGGAGUUACUCAGGUUUGUGUCAGGUAAAAGUUCAGUUUUGGUUAUCUUUAAACACUUGUGUAACAAAGGUCAGGGAAUCCCUUUUCAUUAUUAUCCCAAAGGUGCUUUUUUUCAAGAGGCUUUGUUAUGGUUGCAUUUGUCCCUCUGUAUUCGUUUAUUUUAUUCUACAAAGCUGCUCCAAAUGCAACCUAUUCCGAGUGACAUAGGAUUCCUGAGAAUGUGCCUGAUAAAUUAACAUUUACAUUUGAUUUCUUCAGUGUGUAAUUCUUCAGAUGUGUGGGACGCAAACCCUUAACAUUUCCAACCAAGAUGGCAGGUGGAAUAUAUUUGGAGGACACCACAUCAGAGAAGGCUGAUCUGUACAAUUGUCAAAGCAGGCCUGCUUAACACAGUGUCUGGAACUGAUGCAGCUUUGCAUUUAGUUCCAAAGGGCUCAAAGUUCAUCUGCUGGUUGUAUAAUGAGAUGAAGUAUGUAAUUCUAUUAAUAAUCGUAUUUGGUCAGCUGCCUAUGGUACACAACUGGUAUGGCAAGUUCUGGCACACGGAAGCAUGCUGUGCAUGACUGACUGCUAUAGAGCCACAGCAUUACCUGGGUUUAUAGCUAUAGCCUCUAAAGGCCUAUUGAUGCCACUUUUCUCAUAGUGCCCAAUAGAAUCAAAUAAAUAAUCUAAGGCCCAGGAAGACAGUAUCUAGUCAUAACUAGUCAAACUGGAUACAUCAAUAGGCAGAGGAAAUUGAGGAAAUAAAUAUGAGUCAUGCCAUUCAGAAAGCAAAAAUGAACACAUAAUGGGAUAAUUAUCUAGAUCAGGGGUCUCCAACCUUGGCAACUUUAAGA